Molecule: long non-coding RNA, 446 nt
Organism: Cebus imitator (Panamanian white-faced capuchin)
Lineage: Eukaryota; Metazoa; Chordata; Mammalia; Primates; Cebidae
Exons: 2
Source: RefSeq, a predicted model, not a curated record
CCAACCUGCCAUAAGAAAGCAGAAAGCAAUGGAGUUACCCCUCAAAAUCCUAAUAAUGGGGAAGCUUUCUCCAAAUAUGGUGCCAUUUUGUUCCAGCCCAAUUAAGUCCCUUAAGGAAAGCAACCACGCCGUGAGUGUCUUCUAUAAACUCAGAGCCAGUUGCAGUGCAGAGUAUAUAAAGUGCUGGAUAAAUAUGUAAUUUACCAACAUAUUUAUAACUGACGAUUGCCUUACUUCAGACUGACAGUCUUCUCAAUCCCCUAAAUGCACAAAACUGUCUUCUCUGAAUUUAAGUUUCCUUCCUGUGCCAACUUGUUUUGUCUUUCUCUUUUAACUCCAGAUGCGACAUUUUUCAGUACACUGUGACAACUUUCGUAUGAAUAUGAAUUAAGAAUAUGUCUUCCCCCCUCAAAAAACAGAAACAAAAAAAAUCAGUCUUACCUCCA